UUGAAAACCGUGGUGCAGUUUUCUUUGGGGCGUCGACUUUUACUGCCCUGGAUGGCGUUGCGUGCUGUGUGUUGCAGUUACUGACGUAAGCACAACUUUUUCACUGAGUGUCAUUAGCGGUGCCAGGCAACUAUUCGCCAAAUACUUGCUGUGCGAGAUCGUCCUCUGCGACUUCUGUGUUCAGUGUCAUCGACGGACGUGAAAUGUUUUCCCUCGAAAUAUUAGUGCACAAUAAUGACAGCGUUCUUCAAGGCAACACUGUCAUCAAGGCUCCUUUCGCAUCAGUGAGUAGCAGCGCUGCAGUCCUUUCUCGACAACGCUCUCUGCGGCCAUGCAAAAUGCUUUGAUAUGCGAUGCGGUGAACGGGGAUCGGUGGCUGUCCCUCACUCGGCGCAUCGCUUGAACACCGACGGUCAGCCGACAACGUGCUUUCUUGCCAGUGCCUCCUCCUGGCCUGGUGAACCUGGUGAUGUCCUCAUGCAGCCAGUGCUGGUGUCAACCUGAGUUAUUAAUUGAUGCAGCCCGGUGCAUCUAAGGCAUGAGCUGAGGCCUCAUCGUUCUCUAGUUCCACCCAAGUACCAUGGUGGUUGGUCACUUUUGAACUUCUGGAAGAACGACUUGGGGACAACGAUAAGGAGCAUCAUGCCUGGAAAUGUAUUUCAAGCACACCACAUGGGGCCAGCUGUGCCACUUCAAGAAAACUGCUUCGUUCUCAUCUGCAAGCCUCAAAGAAGUUACCGUAUGAAGCAAGCCAGCGGGGCAUAUAAGUUGGGUACCACAGCAAAAGGAACAAAUAAACACGUCUUUUUUGCAAGAAA
Rhipicephalus microplus (southern cattle tick) is the source of this 818-nucleotide long non-coding RNA. Lineage: Eukaryota; Metazoa; Arthropoda; Arachnida; Ixodida; Ixodidae. The record is from RefSeq and is a predicted model, not a curated record.